GGGGCGGAGGGGGGACAGGCAGGCGGGGGCCGGGCCUGCGCCCCCGACUCAGCACCUGUUAGCUCUGUGCCUUGUGGCUCCAUCAGCAGCAGCGAGAACCUCCCAGGUCGGUGACCUUCCCCGGGACCCCAAAAGCUGAAGCUGCCGUGCUCGGUGCAGGGCGUCGGGGGGUGGUAGGAACCCCGACAGCGUCAGAGAUUUCACCUCAGAGGGUCGCUCCCUGUGCGCCUCUCGCCAGGCUCAGGUGUGCGAGUGGCCAGGCCUGAGGGUCCCGCCCCUCCUGCAUUUGCCCCCUGUUUCGAUCAGAAACGCCAACAGGCAGUGAAGCUCCUGAAAGGCCCAGCUGAUGCUGCAGAGUCUGCGGUGACGUUUCCAGGACAUCGGCAGCUCCUCCUUUGUUAAAAAAACAACGCACUACCCUAGAAAGCCCCCGGGCUUUGCUGAGGUCACAGGAAAGACACAGUCACUCUUCCUGGAAAAACCCACGCACCAAAGUCCCUGUUCUCAUGGAGCCUCGCCAAGCUGCCAGUUCAGCGGCGGCCCCGGGUCAUUUCUCUCCCUGCCCACCGGCGUUACCUCUGCGGAGCCUGAACCCAGGGUAGACGCUGGCGGGAAAGCCGCUCCUCCAGGACGCUCCUUCUCUGUUUUGCUAUCUGCUAAAUUCAAAGACAAGUGCUAUUUCCAAUGACUGUUGUCUGCACACGACCUUGAAUAGAAGCGGUGACCCAUGGCUCUUCAUUAAAAUGGUCCCGAGACUAAAAACAAAACGCCCAAGGCAUUCCCUCAAUAAAAAGAAAGAAAGCGAGAAUGAAACUUUAGACAGAUGCACAGCGUCCUGGAAGGAGUUUUAGUGGAGGAUUCCACUCAUCCAUCGCUUCGUGUCCUGCGUCUCUUUUGAAAUUCCUUGUGCUGACCCAGCUGCCGUUCAAUAAACACUCCAGUGUGGGGGUGACAAAUGUAAUUUUCACCUAAACUGUGUUUCCGUCAUUCUGGUAGAAAGGCUUGCCUCUUUGAAAUACAGUUCUUUUCUAUCCCUUUCUUUCUGUCUUUGACUUGCGUGGUUCCCUCUGUGGUGGUGGGAGGCAGCCCGUGACCAGGCAGAGGCAACAGCAGGUAUUUUUCAGCCCCGCCCAGGCCGAGCUGGCAUCUUUCCAGAACCCCAGCUCACUGUUUUCGUGCCCUCUGAGUCUCAAAGCCAGCAUAUUUUGCUUCAUUGCUUUGUAAAGUUAAAGCCACUUGUGCCUGCAUCUCACGGGGGUCCUGAGUGGCGUCUCUGUGUUCCCACCAGCACUGUCAACGUUUCUCCCGUGAGAGGGAGAGCCAUGGGGCAAUGGGGACGCUGGGUGACAGUCACGAAGCUGGGAGCCUAAGGGGACAGUCGCUUAGGUAAGACCGCCAGGAAGGGGCCGCCUUCAGGCCCACACACGCGUGCCUGUGUCUCCUCUGUGCUGGCCCAUGGGAACGACUGGAUGCCUUCCUACCUU
Molecule: long non-coding RNA, 1484 nt
Filed under: Papio anubis (olive baboon)
Lineage: Eukaryota; Metazoa; Chordata; Mammalia; Primates; Cercopithecidae
Description: lncRNA (ENSPANG00000036912.1)
Source: RNAcentral